RNAcentral lists this unclassified non-coding RNA (1604 nucleotides) under Pectinophora gossypiella (pink bollworm). RNAcentral's name for it is "dual specificity protein phosphatase 22-like". Lineage: Eukaryota; Metazoa; Arthropoda; Insecta; Lepidoptera; Gelechiidae. The record is from RNAcentral.
UAGACGCAGUGACGCCGGCGGCAGUGGCGCGCCGCGGGCCGAGAAUGAUACACGUCCGCACUCCGCCUCGCGACUCCAGCGGCGCUCCGGCUCCGACCCGCGAUCGAUAACACAAACCCUAAACCAAACACCACAACAAAAGCCAAAUCACUAUAACUCACAUCAACAAAAUUUAAAUUAUCAUGUCAAACCUCUUUAUGUAACCACAUCCCAGUAUCGAUGGAAUCGCGAUCGCGUGGCACACCGGUGUCAACAAUGUAGUCAUAGUGACGCGCCCUGUUGACAGCUUGACAGUUUAAUGUGAACUUAUACAAUGCUGUUGAUAUUAUUAAAUGUUUAAACAUUGUGUUGGUUGUUGUAUUGUUAUUAUAACGACAAUAAUUUUGAUGGUUAAUUAAGGAUUUAUUCAAGACGCAAGCAUGGGGAAUGGUAUGAAUAAGGUGCUGCCGGGGCUGUACGUGGGCAACUACCGCGACUCUAAGGACCCCGUGCAGCUGGACAAAUACAAGAUCACGCAUAUCCUCUCCAUCCACGAUGCGGCCAGGCGGUUGCACUCUGAUAAACACUACCUGUGCAUCAUGGCCUCUGACUCCCCAGACCAGAACCUCACGCAAUACUUCAGUUUAUGCAACGACUUCAUACACGCCGCCAGACUCAGAGACGGAAAUGUGCUUAUACAUUGCCUAGCGGGCAUGUCACGCAGCGUGACGGUAGCAGUGGCAUAUAUAAUGUCGGUGACCCCGCUGACGUGGCGGGAAGCGCUGAAGGUGGUGCGCGCGGGCCGCGCCGUCGCCAACCCCAACCUGGGGUUCCAGAGGCAACUGCAGGAGUUUGAGACUUACAAGCUUGUUGAGGAGAGGAGACGACUGAAGGAGCGGUACCCGUCCCUGGCGCUGGCAGACCGCGACCUGGUGGACUGCAGAGCCGCGCUGGACUCCUACCAGACCAUGCUGAACCAGAAGACCAUCUGCGAGGGGAAAUGCUCCAUGGGCCGGCAGUGUCCUACAGGAGUAUGCAGAACGGGCUCCAAGCGCCAGCCCCGCCCGCGGCGACCGUCCACCACGUCCGGUAGCGGCGACAGCGCCACCACCGGCCUGAAACGGUCACCUUCCACUCUGUCCACCACCUCCACCGCCUCCGGGUACCGUCCCCGGUCCUCGCCCGCGGGGCUCUACAGUUACACUGGUGCCCCAUCCCGACCGACUAGAUCAGCAUCAGGGAUCAGCAUAACACGCGUGACGGACGCCGUGGGCGGCGGGACGGCGAUGGCGGUGGGUGGCACCGAGUACUCUCGAAGGAGGGCCGCCUCCGCCCCCGCCACCCCCGCAGCGAUGUCUCCCGCUUCAUCCCCGCCUGGCUCCCCACAUAGAGGAGCCCAGCAUAGGGGCGGCUGCGCGUGGGUGAUUCCCACAGUGAACUGGGACCCAGAUUCCAUGUAGCAUCACCAAAACAUGCACAGGAGCACUUAUCACCCGCACGCCAUCUUGGAAAAGAUAUUAUAGGAGGCCUUCACAAGAUCUUUACUGGAGAUAUGAGGACAUGCGAUGUAACGUCCUUUCUGAACUUACUACAUUCCAACACAGUCCCGGGCGCUCCAACGAUGU